GAAAUGCGAUAAUUAAUGUGAAUUGCAGAAUUCAGUGAAUCAUCGAGUCUUUGAACGCACAUUGCGCCCCCUGGUAUUCCGGGGGGCAUGCCUGUCCGAGCGUCAUUGCUGCCCUCAAGCACGGCUUGUGUGUUGGGCUUCCGUCCCUGGCAACGGGGACGGGCCCAAAAGGCAGUGGCGGCACCAUGCCUGGUCCUCGAGCGUAUGGGGCUUUGUCACCCGCUCCCGUAGGUCCAGCUGGCAGCUAGCCUCGCAACCAAUCUUUUUAACCAGGUUGACCUCGGAUCAGGUAGGGAUACCCGCUGAACUUAAGC
Molecule: unclassified non-coding RNA, 314 nt
Filed under: plant metagenome
Description: partial contains 5.8S ribosomal RNA, internal transcribed spacer 2, and large subunit ribosomal RNA
Rfam family: 5.8S ribosomal RNA (bases 1-105)
Source: RNAcentral